GAUGAACGCUGGCGGCGUGCCUAAUACAUGCAAGUCGAGCGAACAGACGAGGAGCUUGCUCCUCUGACGUUAGCGGCGGACGGGUGAGUAACACGUGGAUAACCUACCUAUAAGACUGGGAUAACUUCGGGAAACCGGAGCUAAUACCGGAUAAUAUAUUGAACCGCAUGGUUCAAUAGUGAAAGACGGUUUUGCUGUCACUUAUAGAUGGAUCCGCGCCGCAUUAGCUAGUUGGUAAGGUAACGGCUUACCAAGGCAACGAUGCGUAGCCGACCUGAGAGAGUGAUCGGCCACACUGGAACUGAGACACGGUCCAGACUCCUACGGGAGGCAGCAGUAGGGAAUCUUCCGCAAUGGGCGAAAGGCUGACGGAGCAACGCCGCGUGAGUGAUGAAGGUCUUCGGAUCGUAAAACUCUGUUAUUAGGGAAGAACAAAUGUGUAAGUAACUAUGCACGUCUUGACGGUACCUAAUCAGAAAGCCACGGCUAACUACGUG
RNAcentral lists this ribosomal RNA (497 nucleotides) under uncultured bacterium. RNAcentral describes it as "partial 16S ribosomal RNA". It matches the Rfam family "Bacterial small subunit ribosomal RNA", at positions 28 to 507 of the family's 1533-position model. The record is from RNAcentral.